Molecule: ribosomal RNA, 484 nt
Filed under: uncultured bacterium
Lineage: Bacteria
Description: partial 16S ribosomal RNA
Rfam family: Bacterial small subunit ribosomal RNA
Source: RNAcentral
GACGAACGCUGGCGGCGUGCUUAACACAUGCAAGUCGAACGGAAAGGCCCUGCUUUUGUGGGGUGCUCGAGUGGCGAACGGGUGAGUAACACGUGAGUAACCUGCCCUUGACUUUGGGAUAACUUCAGGAAACUGGGGCUAAUACCGGAUAGGAGCUCCUGCUGCAUGGUGGGGGUUGGAAAGUUUCGGCGGGUGGGGCUGGACUCGCGGCUUAUCAGCUUGUUGGUGGGGUAGUGGCUUACCAAGGCUUUGACGGAUAGCCGGUCUGAGAGGGGGACCGGCCACAUUGGGACUGAGAUACGGCCCAGACUCCUACGGGAGGCAGCAGUGGGGAAUAUUGCACAAUGGGCGGAAGCCUGAUGCAGCAACGCCGCGUGCGGGAUGACGGCCUUCGGGUUGUAAACCGCUUUCGCCUGUGACGAAGCGUGAGUGACGGUAAUGGGUAAAGAAGCACCGGCUAACUACGUGCCAGCAGCCGCCGUAA